This 468-nucleotide ribosomal RNA is filed under the name uncultured bacterium. RNAcentral describes it as "partial 16S ribosomal RNA". It matches the Rfam family "Bacterial small subunit ribosomal RNA", at positions 28 to 507 of the family's 1533-position model. The record is from RNAcentral.
GAUGAACGCUGGCGGCGUGCUUAACACAUGCAAGUCGAACGGAAAGGCCCAAGCUUGCUUGGGUACUCGAGUGGCGAACGGGUGAGUAACACGUGGGUGAUCUGCCCUGCACUUCGGGAUAAGCCUGGGAAACUGGGUCUAAUACCGGAUAGGACCACUUCUUGGAUGUUGUGGUAGAAAGUUUUCUCGGUGUGGGAUGAGCUCGCGGCCUAUCAGCUUGUUGGUGGGGUAAUGGCCUACCAAGGCGUCGACGGGUAGCCGGCCUGAGAGGGUGUACGGCCACAUUGGGACUGAGAUACGGCCCAGACUCCUACGGGAGGCAGCAGUGGGGAAUAUUGCACAAUGGGCGCAAGCCUGAUGCAGCGACGCCGCGUGGGGGAUGACGGCCUUCGGGUUGUAAACUCCUUUCGCUAGGGACGAAGCGUUUUUGUGACGGUACCUGGAGAAGAAGCACCGGCUAACUACGUG